GACGAACGCUGGCGGCGUGCUUAACACAUGCAAGUCGGGCGGAAAGGCCCUUUCGGGGGUACUCGAGCGGCGAACGGGUAAGUAACACGUGAGUAAUCUGCCCCUGGCUUUGGGAUAGCCACCGGAAACGGUGAUUAAUACCGGAUACGACCACUUCUCGCAUGGGAUGGUGGUGGAAAGUUUUUCGGCCAGGGAUGUGCUCGCGGCCUAUCAGCUUGAUGGUGAGGUAAUGGCUCACCAUGGCUUCGACGGGUAGCCGGCCUGAGAGGGUGACCGGUCACACUGGGACUGAGACACGGCCCAGACUCCUACGGGAGGCAGCAGUGGGGAAUAUUGGACAAUGGGCGGAAGCCUGAUCCAGCAACGCCGCGUGAGGGAUGACGGCCUUCGGGUUGUAAACCUCUUUCAGCAGGGACGAAGCGCAAGUGACGGUACCUGCAGAAGAAGCACCGGCCAACUACGUGCCAGCAGCCGCGGUAA
Molecule: ribosomal RNA, 480 nt
Filed under: uncultured bacterium
Lineage: Bacteria
Description: partial 16S ribosomal RNA
Rfam family: Bacterial small subunit ribosomal RNA
Source: RNAcentral